UAAUACGGAGGAUCCGAGCGUUAUCCGGAUUUAUUGGGUUUAAAGGGUGCGUAGGCGGAUUGGAAAGUCAGCGGUGAAAGUUUGCAGCUUAACUGUAAAAUUGCCAUUGAAACUGUCAGUCUUGAGUGCAAAUGAGGUAGGCGGAAUGUGUUGUGUAGCGGUGAAAUGCAUAGAUAUAACACAGAACACCAAUUGCGAAGGCAGCUUACUGGGAUGCAACUGACGCUGAGGCACGAAAGCGUGGGGAUCAAACAGGAUUAGAUACCCUGGUAGUCCACGCAGUAAACGAUGAAUACUAGCUGUAUGCGAUAUACUGUAUGCGGCACAGCGAAAGCGUUAAGUAUUCCACCUGGGGAGUACGUUCGCAAGAAUGAAACUCAAAUGAAUUGACGG
RNAcentral lists this ribosomal RNA (393 nucleotides) under bacterium enrichment culture. Its description in RNAcentral is "bacterial SSU rRNA". It matches the Rfam family "Bacterial small subunit ribosomal RNA", at positions 521 to 916 of the family's 1533-position model. The record is from RNAcentral.